GGUAUACAAAACCUUCCAGCAGCGUCGGAUCUUCCAGUCACUCAUCGAAGCUGCCGUGUUUAGAGCGCCAGUUACUUCCCUACCGCAAUCCCUUCAGCUGCCCUUCUAGGCAGCUGUGAACCGGAAAACAGAUGUUGAAGGAUGGAAAAUUCUGCCCAUACGUCGUGAAGAGCUCACUUGGGAAGUUUCCUAACGCAGAGAUAAAUUAGGAAGCAGAUCCUGGUGCCGGAUCUUGGUAUACAAGUUUGUUUCCGAAGAGCCCAGGGUUGAAAAUUAACUUCAGGACAAAACACCGCAGUCCAGAAGAGUGGUGGUGGUAGCCAGAGGCUUUUUUCUUCGGAUGACAAAACUGAUGGGGCAGGAUGUGGCAGCCCAACUGUGUGCCUGUGCUCCAGGCUAACUAGUUUUCCUGGGUUUGGAUCCUGUGUUCAGAGACCCACUGGGUUGUUUGACCAAGAAAGGCUCCGUUUUCCCUCUUCCAGAGGGAGCAAUCACGUGCCCUCACCAGAACAAGCCGGAGUCCUCGGCCCUGCAUGCAAUCUGAUUUCUCUCAGAGCCUGGAGCAGCCCGCACACCAUCUGCGUCCACGUUCGUGGGACUACGAAGUGCUGACACAGGACUGCAGCUCGGGGCCUGCGGCUUGCCAGGGUGUUUUGCAGAAGCCUACCGAGCCAGUCGUGGGUAUGAGUCAUCUGGCUGUGGGCCUGAGACUCAAUGAAGAGAGUGAAAAUGCUACAGGCAAAACUCUGGUACGAAGGCCCCACCGUGGACUCUCUCGAGGUGUUCCCAUUUGGGCGUCUUCACCAUGCCAACAGGAGAGAGAUACUUUCAUUGUUUGAUGUACCCUUAUUAUUCCCAGGUACCAUGUGGUCAAAAGCCUCAUAGAAAUGGGUUUGUAGUUAUUAGAAUCAAUGACCUUUGGAACGUGAUUAAUCUUUCCUUUAUGUCCCUGUCAGUAAAAUUAAAAUAAUAUUUACACCACCGACUGCAGCAUGGGCAGAAGGAUAAAAUGAAAUGAUAUUAGUAAUCGCAAACUCAGGAUGCUUACUCUGUACCGGUUACUGCUCUGAGCACUUUACAUACAUUAACUCAUCUAUUCUUCUAAAAACCUCCGAAGGUGGGCACUACUAUGUAUUUUACCAGCUGCAACAUCUUCCUUUUCUAAUUCAUCCUACACAUUCCAACCAAGAAUCUACACAUUUAGCACAAAAGUCACGCAACUGAAUGAUAGCGCGGGGACAUGACUGAGGCAGUCUGGUUCCACACAAUACCGACAUCUCAGAGAUUUUGACAGCACUUUGCCCAUAGUAAAUGACAAAGGCCUGGAAGGAUCACGUAUACUUUGGCUUUCUACCUGUGGGUAAGAGGAGUCUAAGUGGAUUGGGAAUUCCCACUCGGAACCCAGAGAGGAAAGGAAUCAAAAGCUGGUUUUGUUUUGUAAUAAGAUUGUUUAAGGAAGUCUGUGAAAUAUAGUCAGCCUGAGAAUAGACACAAGGAAGGUGGAAUUGGAAACCAGAUUUUAUACGUAGCAGAACUGGAAACGGGGGGCCAUUUCUGCAUUCAUCCAUCCACUCACCAUCUGGCGUUAUGCUAACAGUGAAACACAGAUGAAAAAGAUGCAGUUUUUGUUGUUGUUGUUUGUCUUAAAAUGCCCACUGUCUAGUGGGGGAAGGCAACAGGUAUUGGCUAUCAUUCUGCUGUCUACUGGCAUGAACUUGAGUGAGUCUCUCGGUUGCUUUGAGCCACUAUUCCCCCAUUUGCAAAUGAGGAUGCACUCUGCGACAUUGCACGGUUUCUGGGGCCAUUAGAAAUGGGCUGUAUCAACUGUCUGCAGCCAGUCAUCAUUGAAAAAAUAGCGGCUAGGUCACGAAGGUACAGCGUGGAGAGAACUGAAGCUGGAGAACCAAACUGCACACUCUAGGAACGGUCACAUGGCAGUUAUUUAGCAGGGACAUGGGAUGGGUGGUUUUUCAUGUUAGCAAAUUUCCCUUGGUAGCGGGAUGGCAGCUGAACUGCACAGGGACUAAGUUGAAGAACAGAACAUCCUUUAGGAAAGUAUUAAAAAACAGAGAACGAGGGCCUACAAGGUAAAGAGAGGUUGUGGAUUUGGAACAGAGACAAGAGAAAUUUUGGAGAUAGAUAGAUUUUCUUACCUCUUAAAUAGGGCUAUUUUGUGGGGUUUAAAAAUGGAAUCUUAGGGAAGAGCAAACAUGAAAAUAAGUAUUUUAUUUUAUUUUAUUUUAUUUUUGCAGACAAAUCCUAUUUAGAACAUUUCUCUUGAUUUUGAGGCAAAGGAAAGAUAGGUGUUCUGGGUGUCACUUUUCUGCCUCUGAGCUCUCUCCGUCUCCCCUAACAAAGGGUCAGCAGGGAUCACUUUAUUUUGGGCCUUUGGCACCCUUUGACAACAACUUUCUAGAACAUACCUCACCACAUUGCACUUAUUUUUUAUGACUGCCUCCCCCAGCAGAUGGAACACUCAGUGAAUGGUGAGUGUCUUUUUUUCCGAAUGCCCAGUAUUUAGAUAAUGUGUGGCACUGAGCAGGUAUUCAGUGAAUGUUUGUUGAAUACACGAAUGAGUGUGCCAACAAGAGCGUAGCAGUUAAGCACAAGAUCCCUGGAGUAGGACUGAUAGGUUUUGAAUCCUGAUUCUCCACCGGUUACUGGCAGAACAACAACCGUCUAAACCCGGUUCCUCAUCUAUGAAAUGGAAAUGACAAUAUCAUAGUACUGCAGUGAGGCAAAAUGACACAAAUGUAUGCAAAGUGCCCAGCCUACUCCCUGAUACACAAUAAAUCUUUAUUUAAUUAAAUGAGAGCUACCACCAUCACAAUCAGUAUUAUUAUCACGAAGACAACUGGACUUUUAAUGCCUAACCAUUUUCCCCCCAUCCCUCUACUCUCUGCUGCUCAAUAUAGCCCUGAUUUGGAAAAUUGAAUGGAUGGAAACAAUGAUUAUAUUACCUAAACUUGAAAAGCAAUAGAAUAAACUGACUUUUCUUUCACUCUUCCAGCUUACUCUCUUACUAUUUGCCCUCAUGCAAUCAAAGCCCUA
Long non-coding RNA from Ursus thibetanus thibetanus, 3051 nucleotides. The record is from Ensembl. Lineage: Eukaryota; Metazoa; Chordata; Mammalia; Carnivora; Ursidae.